This 73-nucleotide transfer RNA is filed under the name Candidatus Aquivivens invisus. RNAcentral describes it as "Omnitrophica WOR_2 bacterium GWA2_63_20 tRNA-Lys". It matches the Rfam family "tRNA". Rfam says of the family: Transfer RNA (tRNA) molecules are approximately 80 nucleotides in length. Their secondary structure includes four short double-helical elements and three loops (D, anti-codon, and T loops). Further hydrogen bonds mediate the characteristic L-shaped molecular structure. tRNAs have two regions of fundamental functional importance: the anti-codon, which is responsible for specific mRNA codon recognition, and the 3' end, to which the tRNAs corresponding amino acid is attached (by aminoacyl-tRNA synthetases). tRNAs cope with the degeneracy of the genetic code in two manners: having more than one tRNA (with a specific anti-codon) for a particular amino acid; and 'wobble' base-pairing, i.e. permitting non-standard base-pairing at the 3rd anti-codon position. RNAcentral also lists the same sequence under 6 other names. The record is from RNAcentral. Lineage: Bacteria; Pseudomonadati; Candidatus Omnitrophota.
GGGCCGUUAGCUCAAUCGGCAGAGCACCUGACUCUUAAUCAGGGUGUUGCAGGUUCGAUUCCUGCACGGCCCA